CAACAUUUGAUACAAAAGGUACUCCAUUGCUUUGGUGGAAUAUACCAAUAUUUAACAGCACGCCAGAAGCUUCAAGAUUGUUGUGUUAAAAUGCUGCAAAGUUCCAAAAAGCAUGCAUAAAGCUUCCUAUGGAUUGGGUGGAAUAUUGAACUGCUGAAGGCGGGACAAGUUCCGAGUUGUUUAGCCUAAGACUUUAGGAAUAGUUACCUGCUUAUUGUAUCAGGUCCAUUUGAGAGGUUGGAAUACCAUAAAGCUUGUUUUAUGUAAUAUUAGAUAUCAAAGUGUUCAAUCUCUGCAUGGAAUAUUGUUUUCAGUAUUUAACAACUACAUUUGGCA
This 336-nucleotide long non-coding RNA is filed under the name Elaeis guineensis (African oil palm). RNAcentral describes it as "long non-coding RNA (EGUI_LNC013266)". Lineage: Eukaryota; Viridiplantae; Streptophyta; Magnoliopsida; Arecales; Arecaceae. The record is from RNAcentral.